This 245-nucleotide unclassified non-coding RNA is filed under the name plant metagenome. Its description in RNAcentral is "partial contains small subunit ribosomal RNA, internal transcribed spacer 1, and 5.8S ribosomal RNA". The record is from RNAcentral.
UCUCCGUUGGUGAACCAGCGGAGGGAUCAUUACCGAGUUUACAACUCCCAAACCCAAUGUGAACGUUACCAAACUGUUGCCUCGGCGGGGUCACGCCCCGGGUGCGUCGCAGCCCCGGAACCAGGCGCCCGCCGGAGGAACCAACCAAACUCUUUCUGUAGUCCCCUCGCGGACGUUAUUUCUUACAACUCUGAGCAAAAAUUCAAAAUGAAUCAAAACUUUCAACAACGGAUCUCUUGGUUCUG